CAUCACCACUUCCUGGAGGUCUCCAUGAGGUCCCAUCACCACCUCCUGGAGGUCCCUAUGGGGUCCCACCACCUCCUGGAGGUCCCCAUGAGGUCCCAUCACCUCCUGGAGGUCCCUAUGAGGUUCUAUCACCUCCUGGAGGUUCCUAUGAGGUCCCAUCACCACUUCCUGGAGGUCCCUAUGAGGUCCCACCACCUCCUGGAGGUCCCUAUGGGCUCCCAUCACCUCCUGGAAGUCCCUAUGAGGUCCCAUCACCACCUCCUGGAGGUCCCUAUGAGGUCCCAUCACCACCUCCUGGAGGUCCCCAUGAGGUCCCACCACCUCCUGGAGGUCCCUAUGGGGUCCCACCACCUCCUGGAGGUUCCUAUGAGGUCCCACCACCUCAAGGAGGUUCCUAUGAGGUCCCAUCACCACCUCCUGGAGGUCCCCAUGAGGUCCCAUCACCUCCUGGAGGUCUCUAUGAGGUCCCAUCACCACCUUAUGGAGGUCCCCAAGAGGUCCCACCACCUCCUGGAGGUCUCUAUGGGCUCCCACCACCUCCUGAAGGUCCCAUCACCACCUCCUGGAGGUUCCUAUGGGCUCCCAUCACCUCCUCGAGGUCCCAUCACCACCUCCUGGAGGUCCCAAUGAGGUCCCACCACCUCCUGGAGGUCCCUAUGAGGUUCUAUCACCUCCUGGAGGUUCCUAUGAAGUCCCAUCACCACCUCCUGGAGGUCCCUAUGGGGUCCCACCACCUCCUGGAGGUCCCUAUGGGCUCCCAUCACCACCUCCUGGAGGUCCCCAUGAGGUCCCACCACCUCCUGGAGGUCCCUAUGGGGUCCCACCACCUCCUGGAGGUCCCCGUAAGGUUCCACCAUCUCCUGGAGGUCCCAUCACCACCUCCUGGAGGUCCCUAUGGGGUCCCACUACCUCUUCGAGGUCCCUAUGAGGUCCCAUCACCACCUCCUCGACGUCUCUAUGGGGUCCCAUCACCUCUUUGAGCUCCCCAUGAGGUUCUAUCACCUCUUGGAGGUCCCUAUGGGGACCCAUCACCACCUCCUGGAGGUCCCAAUGAGGUCCCACCACCUCCUGGAGGUCCCUAUGAGGUCCCACCACCACCUCCUGGAGGUCCCCAUGAGGUCCCACCACCUCCUGGAGGUCCCACCACCACUUCCUUGACUUCUCUAUGGGGUCUCACCACUUCCUGGAGGUCCCUAUGGGCUCCCACCACCUCCUCGAGGUCCCUAUGAGGUUCCAUCACCACCUCCUGGAGGUCCCUAUGAGGUCCCACCACCUCCUGGAAGUCCCACCACUACCUCCUUGACGUCUCUAUGGGGUCCCACCACCUCCUCGAGGUCCCUAUGGGGUCCCACUACCUCUUCGAGGUCCCUAUGAGGUCCCAUCACCACCUCCUGGAGGUCCCAAUGAGGUCCCACCACCUCCUGGAGGUCCCUAUGGGGUCCCACCACCUCCUUGAGGUCUCUAUGGGGUCCCACUACCUCUUCAAGGUCCCUAUGAGGUCCCAGCACCACCUCCUGGAGGUCCCUAUGGGCUCCCAUCACCUUCUGGAGGUCCCUAUGGGCUCCCACCACCACCUUGAGCUCCCUAUGAGGUCCCAAGACCUCCUGGAAGUCCCACCACCACCUCCUCGAGGUCCCUAUGGGCUCCCAUCACUCCCUGGAGGUCCCCAGGAGGUUCCAUCUCCCCCUGGAGGUCCUCAUGAGGUCCCACCACCACCUCCUGGAGCUCCCCAUGAGGUUCCACCAUCUCCUCAAUGUCCCCAUGAGGACCCAUCACCACCUCCUCGAGGUCCCCAUGAGGUCCCACCACCUCCUGAAGGUCCCAUCACCACCUCCUGAAGGUCCCUAUGGGCUCCCAUCACCUCCUGGAGGUCCCAAUGAGGUCCCAUCACCACCUCCUGGAGGUCCCUAUGGGGUCCCACUACCUCUUCGAGGUCCCUAUGAGGUCCCAUCACCACCUCCUGAAGGUCCCAAUGAGGUCCCACCACCUCCUGGAGGUCCCUAUGGGGUCCCACCACCUCCUGGAGGUCCCUAUGGGGUUCUAUCACCUCCUGGAGGUCCCCAUGAGGUCCCACCACCUCCUGAAGGUCCCAUCACCACCUCCUGAAGGUCCCCAUGAGGUCCCACCACCUCCUGGAGGUCCCACCACCACCUCCUUGACUUCUCUAUGGGGUCCCACCACCUCCUGGAGGUCCCUAUGGGCUCCCACCACCUCCUCGAGGUCCCUAUGAGGUCCCAUCACCACCUUAUGGAGGUCCCCAUGAGGUCCCACCACCUCCUGGAAGUCCCACCACCACCUCCUGGAGGUCUCUAUGGGGUCCCACCACCUCCUCGAGGUCCCUAUGGGGUUCUAUCACCUCUUCGAGGUCCCUAUGGGGUCCCAUCUCCCCCUGGAGGUCCCGAGGAGGUCCCACCACCACCUCCUGGAGGUCCCUAUGAGGUCCCACCACCUCCUGGAAGUCCCACCACCACCUCCUCGAUGUCUUUAUGGGGUCCCACCACCUCCUCGAGGUCCCUAUGAGGUUCUAUCACCUCUUCGAGGUCCCAUCACCACCUCCUCGAGGUCCCUAUGAGGUUCUAUCACCUCUUCGAGGUCCCAUCACCACCUCCUCGAGGUCCCUAUGGGGUUCUAUCACCUCUUGGAGGUCCCUAUGAGGUCCCAUCUCCCCCUGGAGGUCCCGAGGAGGUCCCACCACCACCUCCUGGAGGUCCCUAUGAGGUCCCACCACCUCCGGGAAGUCCCACCACCACCUCCUGGACGUCUUUAUGAGGUCCCACCACCUCCUCGAGGUCCCUAUGAGGUUCUAUCACCUCUUCGAGGUCCCAUCACCACCUUCUGGAGGUCCCUAUGAGGUCCCACCACCUCCUAGAAGUCCCACCACUACCUCCUUGACGUCUUUACGGGGUCCCACCACCUCCUCGAGGUCCCUAUGGGGUUCUAUCACCUCUUCGAGGUCCCAUCACCACCUCCUCGAGGUCCCUAUGGGGUUCUAUCACCUCUUCGAGGUCCCAUCACCACCUCCUCGAGGUCCCUAUGGGGUUCUAUCACCUCUUGGAGGUCCCUAUGGGGUCCCACCUCCCCCUGGAGGUCCCGAGGAGGUCCCACCACCACCUCCUUGAGCUCCCCAUGAGGUCCCACCACCUCCUGGAAGUCCCACCACCACCUCCUCGACAUCUUUAUGGGGUCCCACCACCUCCUCGGGGUCCCUAUGAGGUUCUAUCACCUCUUCGAGGUCCCAUCACCACCUCCUCGAGGUCCCUAUGAGGUUCUAUCACCUCCUCGAGGUCCCAUCACCACCUCCUCGAGGUCCCUAUGGGGUUCUAUCACCUCCUGGAGGUCCCUAUGAGGUCCCAUCUCCCCCUGGAGGUCCCGAGGAGGUCCCACCACCACCUCCUGGAGGUCCCUAUGGGCUCCCACCACCUCCUGGAGGUCCCUAUGAGGUCCCAUCACCACCACCUUGAGCUCCCCAUGAGGUCCCACCACCUCCUGGAAGUCCCACCACCACCUCCUCGACAUCUUUAUGGGGUCCCACCACCUCCUCGGGGUCCCUAUGAGGUUCUAUCACCUCUUCGAGGUCCCAUCACCACCUCCUCGAGGUCCCUAUGAGGUUCUAUCACCUCUUUGAGGUCCCCAUGAGGUCCCAUCACCACCACCUUGAGCUCCCCAUGAGGUCCCACCACCUCCUGGAAGUCCCACCACCACCUCCUCGACGUCUUUAUGGGGUCCCACCACCUCCUCGAGGUCCCUAUGAGGUUCUAUCACCUCUUCGAGGUCCCAUCACCACCUCCUCGAGGUCCCUAUGGGGUUCUAUCACCUCUUCGAGGCCCCAUCACCACCUCCUCGAGAUCCCUAUGGGGUUCUAUCACCUCUUC
RNA transcript from Cuculus canorus (common cuckoo), 3872 nucleotides. It is a transcript of the gene named proline-rich proteoglycan 2-like, with no coding region annotated. NCBI's taxonomy places the organism in Eukaryota, Metazoa, Chordata, Aves, Cuculiformes, Cuculidae. The record is from RefSeq and is a predicted model, not a curated record. The transcript has 4 exons.